RNAcentral lists this ribosomal RNA (98 nucleotides) under Fusobacterium periodonticum. Lineage: Bacteria; Fusobacteriati; Fusobacteriota; Fusobacteriia; Fusobacteriales; Fusobacteriaceae. RNAcentral also lists the same sequence under 1 other name. The record is from RNAcentral.
GGGGUACACCUAGUUACAUUCCGAACCUAGAAGUUAAGCCCAUAUACGCUGAUGGUACUUGGCUGGAAGCGGCCUGGGAGAGUAUGGAUUUGCCAAGC